AAGUCUCAAAAGCUUAGCAGGACAUCGUGUUCUGUUCCCUGACGCCCCUUCCCUUCUACCUCACGGCCGCCGCUGCUCUGGACUGAAGCUCGCCUCCUCGCCUUCCCCCGCAUCGGGUCCUAGCCCAGAGGCUUGGUGGCAAGCCGCCUUUUAAGUCGGCUCAUCAGCGGCCAACGGCGGCGGCGUUCUCCCCCGACCCCGCUACCGGCCGGUAUCGGGUUGGCGUGAAGUGGAGAUCCAUCCGGAAAAUUGCCGAAUUGGGAUCGAUCUCUUCUGUUGGUUCAUCUUCUCCUCCAGCGCGCGAGUUCGAUCCACCUGGCGCAAGGUGCUGGUGCCGAUGGAGCACGCUAAGUCCGGCCCCGGCAGUUGGCCGGAGAUGGCCGACGUGGUACCAGUGCCGCAGGACGAUGGGCCCAGCCCCGUGGUCCCCAUCGCCUACCGCGACGACUUCCGCGAGGUCAUGGACUACUUCCGCGCCCUCUACUUCGCGGGAGAGCGCAGUCCCCGUGCCCUCCGCCUCACCGCCGAGGCCAUCGAGCUCAACCCCGGCAACUAUACCGUCUGGCAUUUCAGGCGCCUUAUCCUGGAGACACUAGAUUAUGAUUUACUGCAAGAGAUGAAUUUUGUCGAAAAAAUUGCUGAAUGUAAUCCAAAAAAUUACCAAAUCUGGUUUUUCGUAAACAACUGGCAAUUUCUGGACUUGCAUAAUUUUAACUUUAUCUAUCUUUCAUUGCUGUGAAAAUUAUGACUAACCCUGCAGGGUCCAUUUAUUAUUUUCAGGCAUCAUAAGAGAUGGCUUGCUGAGAAAUUAGGACCUGAUGUUGCGAAUAAAGAGCAUGAAUUCACAAUGAAGAUACUUGCUCUUGAUGCCAAAAAUUACCAUGCUUGGUCUCAUAGGCAGUGGGUUCUUCAAGCACUGGGUGGGUGGGAGAGUGAAUUGCAGUACUGCAACAAACUACUUGAGGAAGAUAUCUUCAAUAAUUCAGCUUGGAAUCAGAGAUAUCUUGUAAUAACAAGAUCACCACUUCAUGGUGGCCUUAUGGCGAUGCGUGAUUCAGAAGUAGAUUAUACAAUUGAAGCUAUUCUAGCAAAUCCUCAGAAUGAAAGCCCUUGGAGGUACCUCAAGGGUCUAUACAAAGGCGAGAAUAACUUGCUAGUAGCCGACGAGCGCAUAUCUGAUGUUUGCCUCAAGGUCUUGAAGAAUGAUUGGAGUUGUGUGUUUGCUUUGAGCUUGUUGCUUGAUCUUCUUCGCUCAGGUUUGCAGCCUUCGGAUGAACUUAAAGCCACCCUUGAACCAAUAAGGCACUCCAACCCAGAAAUGGCAGAUGCUGAUCUUGCGACAGCAGUUUGCUGUACCCUUCAGAAAUGUGAUCCCCUCCGGGUAAAUUAUUGGUCUUGGUACAAAACCACCCUUUCUUCUCAGAUCUCAUAACAUUACAUGGGCUCACAGCUUGUUACCCUCGUUGUACUGGACUCUGAGGUAGACAUGAUUUAGGUGCCUUGGGUUAAAGAUGGUUUCACUGGAUCUACAUGAUGCAAAGCCAACCAGGGCGGACUGUGUACUGGAUUAAGCUUGGCAGAAUUUAUCAAUGUUAUUGUUCCAAAAUACACUUGCGGCAACAAAUGUUACCUCAUACAAGUAAGCUUGAAUACAUUGCAAUUGUCAUGCAAGCCUACAUGAGGGCAUGUUUUGUGUUUUA
RNA transcript from Panicum virgatum (switchgrass), 1700 nucleotides. It is a transcript of the gene named protein farnesyltransferase/geranylgeranyltransferase type-1 subunit alpha-like, with no coding region annotated. The transcript is spliced from 6 exons. Lineage: Eukaryota; Viridiplantae; Streptophyta; Magnoliopsida; Poales; Poaceae. The record is from RefSeq and is a predicted model, not a curated record.